UGGCUGAAAUGUCCAUCACCAUAUUGAUUGCCAGGGUUGAUCUGGCUGAUCUGGAUGGGUAUCUCUUUCCU
This 71-nucleotide small RNA is filed under the name Notechis scutatus (mainland tiger snake). RNAcentral describes it as "7SK RNA (ENSNSUG00000007413.1)". Lineage: Eukaryota; Metazoa; Chordata; Lepidosauria; Squamata; Elapidae. The record is from RNAcentral.